Molecule: long non-coding RNA, 917 nt
Organism: Camelina sativa (false flax)
Lineage: Eukaryota; Viridiplantae; Streptophyta; Magnoliopsida; Brassicales; Brassicaceae
Source: RefSeq, a predicted model, not a curated record
GAAUCAAUUGAUAUUGAUUAUCUUUCUGAUGUCUUCUUUGAUCAUGAAUGAUUCAUUGUAUCUGUUCAAUGAUUGGAGCUCAUGCAAGGGAAUUUUUAGGGUUCAUGAAGUGUGAUACAGAAGGAGAGAUUCUGAUGAUAAAGGCGAAGGUCUUAUUGUGAUUCCUAGGACUAAGCAGGCGACUAAAUCACUGAUUCACAGUUUACGUCCGCUGGAGUUUUGCUCUUCACGAAAGCUGUUUACAUGGAAGUACUCAAUUCCACCGUCUUCGUUGUUUACCGUCAAGCCAAACCACUCUCUUCAGCUGCCCAUCUCUUUGAUCUCCGCUUGGGGUUAAACAAAUGAAAGUGUUACAGUUGCUCAAGUCUUCAGAAUGGAAGACUCACAAUGACAAUGACAAUAUACUAGAUUGCAGGUCAGUUCAUGCUUUUAAAGGUUACAAGAUAUGUCAUUGCAUGUUAACGUUCGAUGGAGGGACCUUCAGACUCUAUCUGAAUCAUUCUAUAGAUAAGUCACUAGGUUUGCAACCAAAUCACUCUGUCUUUCUCACCUUCUCAUCGUGGUUUUUCUCAGGUUUAAUUUCUCAAUGAUUCAUAUAUCUUUCUUUGUCCACCAUCGUAUACAUGAAAGUAAAAGUGAAGGCAUUGUACAUCAAGAACUUUUGAAGGGAUUUAACACAACAACGUCUAAAUAAAUCACGGAAAAACUUUACGAGUUUGUGCAAUACGCAUAUAUAGAGGACUAGCGUCAUAAGAGCCAUGGGCUACACUGAAAGAUAUGUGAUCAGUGGUAUGCUUCAUUUGAAUAAUAAUUUUUUUGUAUACUCUCUUUCAUCAGAUUUUAUUUCUUUGUAUUCUUUUUUCUACCUAACAGUAUUAAGAAUCAAGGUUUGAUAACAACUUAAAUGUGUUUUCUAA